RNAcentral lists this ribosomal RNA (494 nucleotides) under uncultured bacterium. Its description in RNAcentral is "partial 16S ribosomal RNA". It matches the Rfam family "Bacterial small subunit ribosomal RNA", at positions 28 to 507 of the family's 1533-position model. The record is from RNAcentral.
GACGAACGCUGGCGGCGUGCUUAACACAUGCAAGUCGAACGGUGAAGCGCCUCCCUUUUCGGUGGGUGCGGACGAGUGGGGAACGGGUGAGUAACACGCCCGUAACCUGCCCCUUACUCCCGGAUAACCGCACUAAUGUGUGGCUAAUACGGGAUAUUCUGGGUCUGUCGCUUGAUGGGUCUGGGAAAGAUAUUGUUCCGGUGGGGGAUGGGCUCGCGGCCUGUCAGCUUGUGGGCGGGGUGAACGCCUACCAAGGCGGUGGCGGGUGGCCGGCGUGGGAGGGUGGCCGGUCACACUGGGAGUGAGACCCCGCCCGGACUCCUACGGGGGGCAGCAGUGUGGAGUAUUGCACAGUGGGCGCAAGCCUGAUGCAGCGGCGCCGCGUGAGGGAUGGAGGCCUUCGGGUGGUGAACCUCUUUCGCCAGUGAGGCAGGUCCGCCUCGUUUGUGGGGGGGUUGACGGUAGCUGGAGAAGAAGCGCCGGCUAACUACGUG